Molecule: ribosomal RNA, 249 nt
Filed under: Haemaphysalis houyi
Lineage: Eukaryota; Metazoa; Arthropoda; Arachnida; Ixodida; Ixodidae
Description: partial large subunit ribosomal RNA
Source: RNAcentral
AGUGCUAAGAGAAUGGAUUUUCAAAAAAAUUCUUUUUUGAAUUUAAAAAUUGAAGUUAUUUUUAUUUGUGAAGAAACAAUAAUAUAAAUUAAGGACAAGAAGACCCUAUGAAUUUUUGUAAAUGUAUUAAUAUUAAUAUUAAUACAUUUUCUUAAUUGGGGCGAUUAAAAAACAUUAUUAACUUUUAUAAAUAUAAAUAUGAUCCAUUAAUAAUGAUUUCAUGAAAAAAAUACUCUAGGGAUAACAGCG